Molecule: ribosomal RNA, 503 nt
Filed under: uncultured bacterium
Lineage: Bacteria
Description: partial 16S ribosomal RNA
Rfam family: Bacterial small subunit ribosomal RNA
Source: RNAcentral
AUUGAACGCUGGCGGCAGGCUUAACACAUGCAAGUCGAGCGGGGUGAUGGUGCUUGCACUAUCACUUAGCGGCGGACGGGUGAGUAAUGCUUAGGAAUCUGCCUAUUAGUGGGGGACAACACCUCGAAAGGGAUGCUAAUACCGCAUACGUCCUACGGGAGAAAGCAGGGGAUCACUUGUGACCUUGCGCUAAUAGAUGAGCCUAAGUCGGAUUAGCUAGUUGGUGGGGUAAAGGCCUACCAAGGCGACGAUCUGUAGCGGGUCUGAGAGGAUGAUCCGCCACACUGGGACUGAGACACUGCCCGGACUCCUACGGGAGGCAGCAGUGGGGAAUAUUGGACAAUGGGGGGAACCCUGAUCCAGCCAUGCCGCGUGUGUGAAGAAGGCCUUAUGGUUGUAAAGCACUUUAAGCGAGGAGGAGGCUCUUUUGGUUAAUACCCAAGAUGAGUGGACGUUACUCGCAGAAUAAGCACCGGCUAACUCUGUGCCAGCAGCCGCCGUAA